GUCGUUUAUGAUAUUCCAAAUAUACUGAGAUCAUGUUGAGCUGUAAUUGAUUAUAUUAAUUAUCUGGAGAUUUGAUUGAUUGCACGUAUCUUCGCCUGAUGAUUGAUGGAUUGGCCCAUCGGGCAAGAUUUUACAAAAGGGUGAACGCAAGUGGUAUCAAUGCAUGAAAAUAAAUGUGCAAGACGUCCACUCGCCUAGAGAAAGGUCCUCGAACUCGCUCCUCAAACGACAAACACAUCCAGUCGGCAUUGGGAUGUACAUGAACCUUAACAUCGCCCAAUACAGGUAUCACAUUUCCAGCAGUCUAU
Molecule: long non-coding RNA, 308 nt
Filed under: Elaeis guineensis (African oil palm)
Lineage: Eukaryota; Viridiplantae; Streptophyta; Magnoliopsida; Arecales; Arecaceae
Description: long non-coding RNA (EGUI_LNC013768)
Source: RNAcentral